AGAGUUUGAUCAUGGCUCAGAGCGAACGCUGGCGGCAGGCUUAACACAUGCAAGUCGAGCGCCCCGCAAGGGGAGCGGCGGACGGGUGAGUAACACGUGGGAACGUGCCCUUCGGUUCGGGAUAACUCAGGGAAACUUGAGCUAACACCGGAUACGCCCUUCGGGGGAAAGGUUACGCCGAUGGAGCGGCCCGCGUCUGAUUAGCUAGUUGGUGGGGUAAUGGCCCACCAAGGCUACGAUCAGUAGCUGGUCUGAGAGGAUGAUCAGCCACACUGGGACUGAGACACGGCCCAGACUCCUACGGGAGGCAGCAGUGGGGAAUCUUGCGCAAUGGGGGAAACCCUGACGCAGCCAUGCCGCGUGAAUGAUGAAGGUCUUAGGAUUGUAAAAUUCUUUCAGCGGGGACGAUAAUGACGGUACCCGCAGAAGAAGCCCCGGCUAACUUCGUGCCAGCAGCCGCGGUAAUACGAAGGGGGCUAGCGUUGCUCGGAUUUACUGGGCGUAAAGGGCGCGUAGGCGGAUGACCAAGUUGGGGGUGAAAUCCCGGGGCUUAACCUCGGAACUGCCUCCAAAACUGGUCGUCUUGAGUUUGGGAGAGGUGUGUGGAACUCCGAGUGUAGAGGUGAAAUUCGUAGAUAUUCGGAAGAACACCAGUGGCGAAGGCGACACACUGGCCCAAUACUGACGCUGAGGCGCGAAAGCGUGGGGAGCAAACAGGAUUAGAUACCCCCGUAGUCC
RNAcentral lists this ribosomal RNA (738 nucleotides) under uncultured Caulobacteraceae bacterium. RNAcentral describes it as "bacterial SSU rRNA". It matches the Rfam family "Bacterial small subunit ribosomal RNA", at positions 8 to 796 of the family's 1533-position model. The record is from RNAcentral. Lineage: Bacteria; Pseudomonadati; Pseudomonadota; Alphaproteobacteria; Caulobacterales; Caulobacteraceae.